Molecule: ribosomal RNA, 495 nt
Filed under: uncultured bacterium
Lineage: Bacteria
Description: partial 16S ribosomal RNA
Rfam family: Bacterial small subunit ribosomal RNA
Source: RNAcentral
GACGAACGCUGGCGGCGUGCCUAAUACAUGCAAGUAGAACGCUGAAGGAGGAGCUUGCUUCUCUGGAUGAGUUGCGAACGGGUGAGUAACGCGUAGGUAACCUGCCUGGUAGCGGGGGAUAACUAUUGGAAACGAUAGCUAAUACCGCAUAAGAGUAGAUGUUGCAUGACAUUUGCUUAAAAGGUGCAAUUGCCUCACUACCAGAUGGCCCUGCGUUGUAUUAGCUAGUUGGUGGGGUAACGGCCCACCAAGGCGACGAUACAUAGCCGACCUGAGAGGGUGAUCCGCCCCACUGGGACUGGGACCCGGCCCAGACUCCUACGGGAGGCAGCCGUAGGGAAUCUUCGGACAUGGACGGAAGUCUGACCGAGCAACGCCGCGUGAGUGAAGGAGGUUUUCGGAUCGUAAAGCUCUGUUGGUAGAGAAGAACGAGUGUGAGAGUGGAAAGUUCACACUGUGACGGUACCUUACCAGAAAGGGACGGCUAACUACGUG